RNAcentral lists this non-coding RNA (124 nucleotides) under Pogona vitticeps (central bearded dragon). Lineage: Eukaryota; Metazoa; Chordata; Lepidosauria; Squamata; Agamidae. The record is from RNAcentral.
GUGUUGUACGAAAGGAGAGAAUGCUAGCACUCCCCUUGAUAAGGAUAUGAAGCUUUAAUUAGUCAGAGAAUAUGACUAUAGUUACUGUGCUUUGUCCAAGGGCAUUACAGAGUUGUCACUUCAU